AAGAUCUUGAGAAUAUAGUUAAUUUGAUUAAUGUAAAUUCUUGAAGGCGAUUUGCGUUGUUUAGGUUCACAUAGUUUGGCUUCUGUGUUAUAUAAAAAAUAUUACUUUGAAAUUACAUUAAUCUUGUAUCCAUUUAAAGGUCAAUAUUAACAAUAUUACUGGUGAAAUUCAAUUUAUUGCUGUAAUGAAUAUGGAACGGACGAUGUUUGUUUUACGAAUUUCGAAAGUUUAAAGCUUUUUCAAGAUUUAUAGUGAUUAUGCUGUCAAACAAAUAUAUAAGACGUGUACAGGACAACAUCUGCCGAAUCCGUUAGUUAUAAUUCAAAAUGGACAACUGACUUCCACGAAAUAAAUGGACAAUAUGUAUCUUCAAUGUAGUCGAAAUCAAUUAAAUAUACAUUAGGUUUUGCCCGCAACUUCGUCCGCGUGGAAUAGUUACUUUGGGAUAACACUAAAUUUUACCCGCGACUUCAUUUACGUUGAAGACUUCUCAAAUGGUCCUGUAAUGAUGAGGAUCAGGAUCUGAUGAUGGACUCCUGGAGAAAUCCAGAAAAAUGUAUAAUAUGCUACAAAUGUACAAACUGCGAUAUCUUUUAAGAUAUUCAUUAAACUCAAGUGAUGUAAAGGGCAAAUUUCUUUAAAAUUAAAUACUUGUAAUGAAUAA
Molecule: long non-coding RNA, 664 nt
Organism: Bombyx mori (domestic silkworm)
Lineage: Eukaryota; Metazoa; Arthropoda; Insecta; Lepidoptera; Bombycidae
Exons: 3
Source: RefSeq, a predicted model, not a curated record